UGCAAGUCGAACGCGAAAGUCCCGCAAGGGAUCAGUAGAGUGGCAAGCGGGUGAGUAACGCGUGGGUGACCUGCCUUCGAGCGGGGGAUAACGUCCCGAAAGGGACGCUAAUACCGCAUAACAUCCGACCUUUGAACAGGUGGAGAUCAAAGCUGGGGAUCGCAAGACCUAGCACUCGAAGAGGGGCCCGCGUCUGAUUAGCUAGUUGGUGAGGUAACGGCUCACCAAGGCGACGAUCAGUAUCCGGCCUGAGAGGGCGGACGGACACACUGGGACUGAGACACGGCCCAGACUCCUACGGGAGGCAGCAGUGGGGAAUUGUUCGCAAUGGGCGCAAGCCUGACGACGCAACGCCGCGUGGAGGAUGAAGACCUUCGGGUCGUAAACUCCUUUCGAUCGAGACGAAUGGCCUCCGGGUGAACAAUCCGGAGGAAUGACGGUACCGAGAGAAGAAGCCCCGGCUAACUCCGUGCCAGCAGCCGCGGUAAUAC
RNAcentral lists this ribosomal RNA (491 nucleotides) under uncultured Acidobacteriota bacterium. Its description in RNAcentral is "bacterial SSU rRNA". It matches the Rfam family "Bacterial small subunit ribosomal RNA", at positions 56 to 526 of the family's 1533-position model. The record is from RNAcentral. Lineage: Bacteria; Pseudomonadati; Acidobacteriota.